This 216-nucleotide unclassified non-coding RNA is filed under the name Hevea brasiliensis (rubber tree). The record is from RNAcentral. Lineage: Eukaryota; Viridiplantae; Streptophyta; Magnoliopsida; Malpighiales; Euphorbiaceae.
AUCAUCCUCAAUCAAGUCGUUCCAUCUUCCAAAGACCGUCGUUAAGGUAAUGCAUAUUGUCCACUCCGAUCCCUUUGUUCGUUGCCCUUAUUUCCUUAGCUGACAUCUUUGUGAAGCCAAUAGCAAGAGCAUGUUGCUUCCCUUCCGCCAUUAUUGCCACAGGUGUUUCCGCUUCAACUUCAUCGUCCAAGGCACCCCCAGGAGAUGUAAGACCAG